AGAUUAAAUGUUAAAAAUCCUCUCCCUACAUAUUUAACUAAAGUACUUCCUUUACCUCUACUCUUGAACAUUUCUUCUGCAUCUGCCUCUGACCACGUGCUAUGAUGGGUGGGACGCAGUCUCUGUGCUCAGGGCGCACACAGCAUGUGGUAGAGACAGGUUGGCAGCGACUGACAAUACGGGGUGACACCUGCAUUGCUACAAAUGCAGCAAGACGGUUCUCCAUACUUCCGUGGCGGGAAGCGCAGUGGAGCUGGCUGGAGGAUGUGAUGUUGAUCUUGUGUUUUCAGAGAUUGUGCCUGAGCCUGCUGCGUGCCCCAUGAAGGGCAAUGAAGAAUAUGGUCUGUGCCUUCCCGGGACUCAUCUGUCCCCACACCAGCACUGACCUGGCACUGCUGUUUAAAGGGCACUGUGCCUGCAGACCCGGAGGAUGACGGCCACGCCUGGUAUCUCAGUGGGACGCCGAUGGACCGGAGUGACCUUGGGCAGGUCACCUGGCCCUGUGGGUUUCCUCUCUUCCUCUGAGAAAGCAGGGGCUGUUGGGGCAGAUGACAGAGCUCACAGGUGUUGUGACUAGGGAUCCGUGACAAUCUGGAACAGACCUGUGCUCAGCAAACUGGCCCGGACUGUCCCCACCCCACGCCAUGGCGCCCACCCCACCCUCUCGUCCUUGGCCCCCACGACACACAUCAACCGGAACGCUCGGGCCUCCCCACCUCCCUGAGCAACCUGCCUGCUGAAACCUGGGAAGACCUGGUCUCAGUUACGUCCUUAGGCAACAGCCCCGCCCGCCCCCACGCUGCAUCGCUGGUGCUUUAAGAAACACAAUAUUGCCAGAAUGGAUUAUGCAGCAAAUGAUUCCCGGGAACUGAACGGACCAGUCUGGUGAGCAGCCCCGAGCACCUUCUAUAAGGCCCUGGCCUCGCCCUCCUGCUCCCCCGUCCAAGGAAGGAUGGCAAGCGGGAGUCAGGUUAGGUCACGGGACGAACCAGCUGAAGCUGCCUGGGACCGCUCGAGCGUGUCCAUCCCUGGCCCCGCGCACUGGGCCUUAAUAACUCAAUAAUAACCGGCUUCUAGAGCACACAAAGGCUUUUGGAAAGCUGGACAUAAAGGCCACUUUGUCCUGCUCCUGCCGUUCCAGCAGACAUCCAUAGGUGUUCCCACACAGGCUGGCCGCUGGGCUGCUGCCUCCCCCUCCCCGCGCACUGAGGGGAGCUACAGAUGGCUGAGAAGGAGAGCCACGGCCUGAAAAUCGACUCUGAGGAGAAAGCAGAAGAGACAUGGCCGUCCUGGGAAGCUGGGUGUGCUUUCUGCCAGGCCCUUCUCUUCUCCAGACUGCCGGCCCCUGCAGGGAGCCGCAUCCACUCCAUCAAAAAGUCAUCGCGGGCCCAGCGCGGCUCUCACGUUCUCUCAGCCAGAUGCUCCCCAUACGUGCGCAGGCCGUCGCUGGGGGACUGGGACCGGCAGGCUUCAGCGCUGGGAAGCGGGCGUCCUCCAAGCCCGUCAUGGCUUUUCGAAUCCCAUAUGGAGGGUGUCUCCCUCCUUUUCCAAACCUGCUGUGGUUUCCUGUCGCCUAUGGGGUCAAGUCUCCGUCUGGAUCCUGUCAUUCAAAGUUGACUUUCAGGUUGCAAGGAACGGCAUUCAACCACCAGGAAAAGAAGGUUGAGGAGUGGCUGUAAGGCUGCACAUGGA
Long non-coding RNA from Myotis davidii, 1692 nucleotides. RefSeq lists it as uncharacterized. The record is from RefSeq and is a predicted model, not a curated record. Lineage: Eukaryota; Metazoa; Chordata; Mammalia; Chiroptera; Vespertilionidae. The transcript is spliced from 3 exons.